This 898-nucleotide long non-coding RNA is filed under the name Homo sapiens (human). RNAcentral describes it as "non-protein coding lnc-SLC38A4-3:1". Lineage: Eukaryota; Metazoa; Chordata; Mammalia; Primates; Hominidae. The record is from RNAcentral.
UUUUUUUUUUAAUGUACUGUUCUUCUAGAAAAUUAGCACAAGAUACUAUGGAACAAACAUGUUUUGACCAAUGCUGAGCUAAGGGAGCUUCACAUGAAAGCCUACAAAUAUGAGGAGGAAAAACCUAGCCACGGCACAUUUCCAACAAUUUCUUAAUAAUUCCUCUUUUCUUAACCACAGAAAUAAAUCAGAGCCUUUAAAAGUUACCUUACAGAUACCAGCUUCUCAGAAAUUAUUUUGCAGUUACGUGAGAGUAUGUGCCUUCACAAUGUCAGCACCAACAUCUUUAGUAUUUUAAGAGGAAAAGUCAAGUCCACUGAAGGAAUUUAACAGAUUUUUCCAGAAACACUUAAGACAUCUAUAAUUAGGUUUUAAAAGGAGUGACAGAAUGUCUUGAAUCACAAAUUAAUCUGAAUUCAGGACAAUAAUAACUUUAACUCUUACCCACUUUUAUAAGCCAUUAUUCCCAUUAAUGGCUGACAAUCUAUAUUUCCCAAUUUCCAUGCCAAAUGAGCUGAGCUUCCAUUCUUUUGAGGAUGAAAAACAGAAUGACUUCUGAAGGAUCUGCUAUUUGCCAGUAUAUCAGUUAACUUUUGCUGCCUAACAGCUUGCUACCAAAACUUAGUGGCUAAAAACAACAUCUAUUGAACUGUUAGAAGGUGAUAGACCAUUAUCAAUAUGUGAAACAAACAAAAAACACAAGGCUCAACUUAUUUAAAAUAUCAGCUUUAUUACCAAGGAUGACUGUGCUGCAGGAGGCGGCUCAGUGUGAAGAACUACGGGUUUCCUGAUGUUGAAGCUCAGAAUUAGCCACACUGACCUUCUCAGUCAUGCAUGAUGCCAGGAAAAUCACAGGCUUCCAUUCUACAGUGAAGGGCUUGGAGGAGCAGGCAAUAAU